This 274-nucleotide ribosomal RNA is filed under the name uncultured bacterium. Its description in RNAcentral is "partial 16S ribosomal RNA". It matches the Rfam family "Bacterial small subunit ribosomal RNA", at positions 523 to 796 of the family's 1533-position model. The record is from RNAcentral.
AUACGGAGGGUGCAAGCGUUGUCCGGAUUUAUUGGGUUUAAAGGGUGCGUAGGUGGCGUGUUAAGUCGGUGGUGAAAGCCUGCAGCUCAACUGUAGAGGUGCCAUUGAUACUGACAUGCUUGAGUAUGGACGAGGUAGGCGGAAUUUGUGGUGUAGCGGUGAAAUGCAUAGAUACCACAAAGAACACCGAUAGCGAAGGCAGCUUACUGGACCAUAACUGACACUCAGGCACGAAAGUGUGGGUAGCGAACAGGAUUAGAAACCCCAGUAGUCC